AAGGGAAGCACAGUCGAGAACGGCAGAGAAUAAUGUGGACGUGAUGGAAUUGGGAAACUUAAAGACACGUGGAACCAGUUAGCACAAGACAGGGGUAUUGGAGAUCGCUGGAGAAGCUUUCGUCCUGCGAUAGACGUCAAAAUAAGCUGAUGAUGAUGAUGAUUAUGUGACGACAUCCAUGCCAGCUUCGCGGCAUGUCAUUCAUGUUAUGUCAUGCAUGCGUGUCAUGCACGUUCUGAUAGCUCGAUUUACGUCGAUUGCGGGGGGGGGGGAGGGGGCGGAGGAGUAACGGCGUGGCCAAGUGGGGCACGCCGGGCACUUGUAACGCUCACUAACAGUAAAUUUUUUGCUACUAUGGCAAUGGCCCCGCUCCUUCCUCCUCCACGGUCAAUUGGGACCCCCCCCCCCCCUUCACACGCAAAAAUUUUCUGGCUACGCCACUGUGGGGAGGGGGGUGUAAGAUUGCUCUAGACCCCUCCCCCUAACUUGUCAACGGAAACGGGGGAGGGGAGGGCAGCUGCCGCCGGGCCGCAAACCUUAGGCAGCCAAAUUACCGGCUGCAUUUCCCUUUGGACGUGAAUACUGCUCUAAUGUCAUUACACUGUCGGAUUCGUGGCAGUUCGAGGGCAUGCGACAAUAAAAAAAAAAAACAUACAGCCAUCAGCAAGGCUUAGCUUGAGCAGAUCUUUGGGAGCUGGGCAAGACUCUCACAAAAAAAAAAGCUUGGCACCCCUCUUACAUGCAUUGCCAACUCUGGGUCACCGCUGACUGCACAUUUCCGGUAAAAAAAACAUCACACAGGAACUCCUCUCGGAUUUGUCUAAGUAUGUGUAAGCAUUGUGACUCUUCCUCAUCUACACGCAGUCCAUGUCGUUAUUAAUGUUAUGAGACUUGAUCCGACGACUAUAAGCGACAGCGCUGCGGCGACACGAACUGCUGAGGUCGGCGGCGCCAAGUGAAUGGUGCAAGCAAAGUACUGCAGGUGGCGGGGCCAGGUGCGCUGGUGAAGUUCCGUUCGUUUUGAGCCGUUAUCGCUCUUUAGCCCUUCUCAUGCGCGUCGAACCAUUAUCAACCGUUCUCCGGCGGCGGCUGCUUGUGUCCCGGCCGCGCGAACCGUAUCUUGAAAGCGAACAGCAUUGUGGACAGAGUGUGCCCACUGCUGAAAACUUCGCGCGCUGUGUUCUCGCCGUUUACUUCGCUUUGAAAACAGACGCGCGUACACCUAUCUUGAAAGUGAUCUGCGAAAAGCGCAUAGUGCGGCAUGAGCUGAAAGCUUCGUGAGCGCAGUGUUCUCGCCGCUUCGGUCGCUUUGAAGCGAGAGCUAGCACGAAGGUGAAUUCACUCGCUGCUGCGGGUUCUAUUUUGAAAGAUAUCGUGCGGUACGGAAUGACGGACGGAUGGUUUUUCUUGUUGGGUAAGUAUAGAAUGCUUACGUUAUAAAAAAAAAUCGCAGGGUUCGCGAAUUUCGCGAUAACAACCAACACCAACCUACUCCCCCGCCCCCCGCUGAGCGAUGCCGUCUUGAUCGCCCUCUCCCAACCCCGGGAAAAGGGACACUACCUCUCUAUCUCAGUUGAAGAAACGAUGAUGAAACGUUAACAACGACAAGAACGACAUUUCCUAACGAGUUGUCUUAUGGCCUCCGAGAUUUGCGCGCGAAGCUGGCGCGCGCGAACCUGGGAGGCCAUAAUUGGCCGCUUAAUAGCAUAAAAAGACAAAAAGAUAAUGCCAAACGACACAGUUAAAAAUUCAGACAACGUACUGAUCUUAGCUAUACUGUUUGGGGAAAAGAAAUAAAAAAAUAGACAGCCGUAACACACGCCACUAAAGCCACCACCGCCGGCAUAACGCGGAACCAACAGUUGGCAACAUUGCUUCGUCCGCUUCGUCUCCGCAACGAGAGCCGCCAUCCUUUCGCGCCGGCCGUUUUGUCAUAGUUCUGUUUUUCUGCAAGUCCGUGCACGCAGCUCAUCGGUAGAUGCACGGGUGCACGGCGUCGCAUUGCGACCUGCGGCAUUUUCUCGUGUUCGCGCAAUCGGUGUGAAACAUGUCGCAUGUGAAAUAUUUGAUAGAAGUGCCUCACGUCCAAGUCAAGCCGCCGUACGAGUGUAUGGCUGUGUGCCCCGUUCUCGGAAGCGUCGACGGGUUUCCGGCAUGCGGAUUUCAGCGUUUGGACUCGACUUUUGGUGAGGAUGUCGAUCGACCUUGGGCCUGGUGACAGCACACCCGACAUGGCCAAAGUGCAGCCUAUCAGUUUAGUGCCCCCGAAUGGACCAUCAGCAUCGGAAAAUGAAGCAGAGCCAGGGGGAAAAGGUUCCGGUAACACCAUGCAUUCAGUAUGGUGGCCCAGACGUGUAUGCAAGCAACCUCCUUCACGUGGACCAAGAACUACUCUGCAGUG
Molecule: long non-coding RNA, 2401 nt
Organism: Dermacentor andersoni
Lineage: Eukaryota; Metazoa; Arthropoda; Arachnida; Ixodida; Ixodidae
Source: RefSeq, a predicted model, not a curated record